This 416-nucleotide ribosomal RNA is filed under the name uncultured Funneliformis. Its description in RNAcentral is "partial 28S ribosomal RNA". Lineage: Eukaryota; Fungi; Glomeromycota; Glomeromycetes; Glomerales; Glomeraceae. The record is from RNAcentral.
GAGAGUUAAACAGUACGUGAAAUUGUUGAAAGGGAAACGAUUGAAGUCAGUCAUACCAACGGGAAAUCAACCUUUCGAGUUUGUUCUUGUGGGUUUUCGAGGAGUUUAAAAGCCUUCGGAUUUGCGAGGAUUGGGCUCUUUUGGUGUACUUUCUCGUACGGUUAGUCAACAUCGGUUUUGAAUGUCAUAAAAUGACUGGAGGAAUGUGGCUUCGAUCUCGUAUCGAAGUGUUAUAACCUUUGGUAGAUGUGAUGUUUGAGACCGAGGAUUGCAACGGAUACCCUUCUGGGCUAUUCGUCUGAUCUCUGAUACGUUGCCUUGAUGUCGAAAGCUCGCUUAUGAUGUUAGGGUAUUACGGUCAAAAGGUUAGAACGGAUUAAAUUCGUUAAGGAUGUUGACGUAAUGACUUUAAACGA